CAGGAGACCAAGAAGCAUGGAUACUGUCUGUCUUGACAAUAACCUGGAUGUUCUUCACAGGGGAUGGCACAGUAGAUCCAUUUAUGCGAAAUUCCGGGGUACUCUUAUUUCCAGCAACUGCAGUGAGGACAAUGUUGUAUUUAUUCCCAGGGACCAGGCCAGUAAAAGUUUCUUCGGUUUUUGAAAAUCUUCCUGGUAUGGAGGAUUCUUGUAGCUUUUUAUUACUGUGAUCAAAUACUACUAUA
Molecule: long non-coding RNA, 245 nt
Filed under: Gallus gallus (chicken)
Lineage: Eukaryota; Metazoa; Chordata; Aves; Galliformes; Phasianidae
Source: RNAcentral